UGGAACCAACAAAAGAUAUAGCUCUGAUGUUGUCAUCAUCACAAAUAGCAUUAACAACAUCACUGGUGCCAUGAACGAUGUUCAAGACACCAUUAGGCAGACCAGCUUCCAUGGCCAACUCUGCAAGCAUUAUAGAAGCCCCUGGAUCUUUCUCCGAGGGCUUUAAGACGAAUGUAUUACCACAUGUAACUGCAAGAGGGAA
Molecule: unclassified non-coding RNA, 202 nt
Filed under: Hevea brasiliensis (rubber tree)
Lineage: Eukaryota; Viridiplantae; Streptophyta; Magnoliopsida; Malpighiales; Euphorbiaceae
Source: RNAcentral